UCGAGGUGCCAUAAUGCUCGAAUUUCCCAAGAGAUUGAUGAAGAAUCAUGGUGGAAGGGGUUUUGAAGGGUUUAGAAGAGGAGUUGAGGGGAUUUAAGGUGAGCAAGCUUGGAAAAGGUAAAGCAAAUAGUAUUUUCAGAAAGAUAAAAGUUUUAUAUAAAAAUUAGGUCCCGAUCGUCGAGCCUGCUCGACCCCCUACUAGAUUCGACUUGAGAGUCGAGUCGAUAACUCACAGGCAC
This 239-nucleotide long non-coding RNA is filed under the name Elaeis guineensis (African oil palm). RNAcentral describes it as "long non-coding RNA (EGUI_LNC037739)". The record is from RNAcentral. Lineage: Eukaryota; Viridiplantae; Streptophyta; Magnoliopsida; Arecales; Arecaceae.